Non-coding RNA from Podarcis lilfordi (Lilford's wall lizard), 25554 nucleotides. NCBI's taxonomy places the organism in Eukaryota, Metazoa, Chordata, Lepidosauria, Squamata, Lacertidae. The record is from the annotation of a GenBank genome assembly.
ACACAAGCUCACAAGCUCCAAGUUGCAGCCACCUAUUACAGAGCUCGUGCGUCAGAGGAAAAAGGGGGCAGGGAGAGAGAGAGAAAGAGAGAAGAAGGAAGACAAUGCACUCUGCAAUUAGUAGCUUCAAUGAGAGGUAAAUUAAUUUCCCCAGCUGUAUUGUGGUUAUUAUUGCUGUUUAGAAAGUGGACAGGGGUAAAAUCGCAUUGAAGUGCAGAUGUCAGCAUGGUGUAAAUGGUACUUUAAAAAGGCCAAAGAGUGGAGGAACAACAAAUACAGAGGCACCUUUUCAGGCAAGGAAUUUUAAUUGCAAACACAAAUGCUUUGUAAGAAGAGUCCCUGGAAAAUACUUUUGUGUCAUUUAAGCUGCUGCAAAUUACAAGAACAGACGUGUCUGAAUCCGUCUGCUCCAGACUGAUGUGUUGUGGGGACACCUGAAACUAGAACUCGCAUCAAGCUCUUAAGGUCUGCGCUUGGAGGAGCUAAAGUAAAGAGAUUUCAGGAGGGGGCGAGAUUCUCAGCCAGAUUUAAUAGCUUGCUUUAGAAAACAGUCAAGAUUAAAUUAACAAAAUCUGGUGUAUUAAUGCUAUAGCAUGUGGAAUCACUGACAGUGUGUUGCUCUUGUGGGCAGGGAGAAAGUAACACCUUUUCCAAAUGGAAGCAGCUGUGCCAAAGGGGGAAAUAGCAACACGGGCCACUGGUUAUUUUCAUUUUAAGAGAAAAACACGUAUUUGUGAUAACCAUCAGCAAAUCACCUUAUAUAAAAUGUCAACAUUAGAACAUAACUUAUUAAGAUAGAUUUUUUAAAUUUAUUUAUUAUGAGUAGUGGUAGUAUAAAAAUAUGCAAAACGGGUUCCAAAAAUACACAGAGGGCUUCAUGCUUCAGGCAAUUAGGAAAAUGAGUAAAACAUAUCAUCUGCACUGAUGGACAUGAGGAGUCUUCAGACUGACACAUGCAAACGAAAUAGCGCAGGCCCUCUUGACAAAGGGCAUUCCAUGACGGAGGGGCCACCACUGGAAAAGCCCCUUCCUUUGUUGCUACAAAGUGCAGCUCUGAUAAGCAAAGCCCUUGCAGAAGAACUUCAGCAGAUCUCAGAACACGGGCAGACAGGGACGGGAACUGGCACGCCUUCAGGUGCCGAGGGCUCCUCCAGUUUAGGGAUUUAAAGGUAAGUUCCAGUGUCCUCCUGCACAUAGGCACCUCUUAGAAUAAUAGCUAUAAUGAUAACAAAUGUGUUUAGCACUUAAAAAUCCUGGCAGCCAUAUUCCACACUAGUUAAAGCUUUUGAGUCAUCUUUAAUGACAGCCCCACAUGUAAUGCAUUGUCGAGGCUUUUCGGGAUUCCUGUGCCUCUAACUGAAAGUUUAUUAUUUGCAGACUCAUCCCAUUUCAUUGCCUGUUAAUCUCCGUUUGUGGGGAUUCGUGGUGGAGAGUCUCUUAAUGGCCUUGCAGUCGCUGCCUGCUCUGUGAUGCUGUUAAUUCAUUGUCUCCAGUCGUGGCUUGUUUGUUUUAAUAGUGAAAUAGUGCUUUAAAAAUAACAAAGGGGUGGAGGAUGAUUUUUUUAAUAUAUUUUUUUGAGGUUGUAUUUUGUAUUAUAUCGUAAGACGGCCUGGGAAAAGGACGUUUUCUUUCUUUUUUUUCUGUGAAAGAACAGGAAUUCAAAUGCUUAAAAUAUAUAUUGGAGGAAUGCCUGUGUUUAAGUACCUAUCAUAUCGUGCUUUUGCAGGGCUCAAAAAUAUUAUCUCAACAAUCUUAAAAUGGCCCUGUAUGGUAUUGGCAAUAUUAAUAUCCUCCUCACGCAAAUGUGAGGCUGAAAACAAGUGGAUGGCUGAAGGCCGUCUAGUGAGUCCAUGGCCAACGCGAGGUUUAAAACAGGUCCUACUGACUCGUGGCUUUAGCUUUACACCAGCUCUGAGCAGGUGGGCUUUUUAAAUAUCAGGGCAUGUUGUUGCUGUACACACAGAUAUCGCCUCCCCUGAGGGAAGCAGUUUUAGGAUGGAGGCCUCUCUGUCACACACUCUCAUCAAGGAACUUUUUCUUUUAAAAGUCAAUAUUGCAGAAGGUGUUUUUUUGUUGUUUUUUUACCUUGACACAUUAAUUUUAAGUAACAUUUCCCAGUGGACAAAUUCAAAAUGGGCCCCCUAAGGAUGUUCAUUUAUUAGUGACUAAAUCAUUAUCACCACUGUAAGUUAUGUUGCACCUUUGGAGCGUUCAAAAUAUUUCACAUAUAUUACCUCAAGAAUUCUGUCAAUCCUUUUUAGUACUAAGUAACUUAAUAUCAUUAUCCCCAUUUUGCAGAUGGAAGACUGAGGCCAGGACAUGAGUGGCUUGCAUAAGGCCACUUAGUGUGCUUGUGGCUACAGUUCACAAAGCAGACAACAUCUGGGAAACUCAUGACCAGAUUCCUUUAAAUUCUGCUGUUUAAAAAUUUUAAAGCAGCCUUUGGUGCUACAGGAGGACAUAUUUAACUCUUCCCCUGAAGCUACUAACUAAGCCGGGGGGGGAGGGGGGAGCAGGGAACAGGAAACAGGACAGUUAAACCAUAAAAAUGACAUGGGGGGCGAGGUUAAGCACCCUUUCAUUCCCGUGCUCCUUUCCGAUGCAAGUCAGAUCCCUUUGUGGCAUCUGUCUUGUCCCUCAGCCACUGUGCUGGCCUAGAUCUCAAGUACCGGCCCAAUGAAUAGCACUCCUAAUAAAUGGUGCUUCUAGCAGAACAAUCCUGCGAAUUGCUGAGCUGUUAAAUCCAUUUUCAGAUCAGGUGCAAAAGCACUAACAAGCUGCCGCAUUGCAUAGCCAGUGGCUUGCGCGUCAGUUUGGGUCAUUGCGCUGGUACAUCUGCUGAGUCAGCUGCUUUCCUUACAGUUCCCAUUGCUGGCUGUAGUGCGAUAGGGACUUGCCUAAUACCGCCUUUUCUCCUGGCAGCACUAUGCCGUGGUGACUGGAGCAGCCGAGCGAAUUCACCCCACCAAACAUUCUCCACUUUGAAAUAAUGGCUGCCGAUAGCAAGCAUGGCACUACCGGUCAUAGCUGCGGGGAGAGCAGUUCCCAAAUAGCGCAUCCGUUCCAUGUGUUCAGUUGCUAUCCUAACUUACAUCAUUUGGGGAACAGGUGAGCUUCAUUUUGCAGAUGCCCGGGGAUGUUGAUGGCCAACAUAAGUGAGAAACUGCAACAGUAGCAAAGCUGGAAUAGAAGAGAAGAUAGGUUUGCUCCAGGCCAAAGAUUGCCUUUGUGAGUCACAUAGGAAAGUGAGGCUGCUCUGUUUCCUCCAAUCCGGCUUCGCUCUGUAACAACUUCACUUCCCUUCUGCUAGCAAUGGCCUUAUAAGGCUUGUUUGGGCAAUUUUGCAAGAUGAAUAGUUCCGUUAUAAUAAGUUGCCAAAAUCUUAAAUAAUGAUCUCUUACAAAUCUUGCAAGAGAGGAGGGUUGGCUGCCUUACAACGUUCUGGCUAAUGUACAAAUUGAAGCUACAAACUCCCACCGCUGCCGGCACCAAAAAAGGAGCUUCCUGGGAAACAUCAGCCAAGCUCUUAAGAUUCGCAGCUUAGCAUUAUCAGAAUCUAUUUAGUCAGCUUCAAAUACCAAAACACACAUGAGGGACUCUGGACUUCAAAACCUCAAGAAAUCUCAAAGCUGUAGUGUUUGUGUUGUUGUUGUUCGGACUUUUAUCCCACUCUUCUUUCCAAAGAACUCAGGGUACGGCAUCAUAAGUAACGCAAUAUAAUGGGAAAAGUAUUACAAAAAUUUAAAACAACUAAAAACAGAUUUUCAGGAUCCAGGAACGGUCAGAGUGGGAAGCUGAGGGCAGGAGCACUUCAGGAAGCAAUUCUCAGAUUUCUCUAGCCACACCGUCGGAAACGGGGGCUGAAACUGCCCCCCUCCCAAGCCAUUUUUUCUGCAAGGACCCCCACCCCAGAUUUUGGCUGCAUCAGCAAAACUAUUUUUUUCCCUAAAGGAAACAUGGUGUUGGGGCGGGUGGAGCUCAGGGGUCAGCAAACUUUUUCAGCAGGGGGCCGGUCCACUGUCCGUCAGACCUUGUGGGGGGCCGGACUAUAUUUUGAAAAAAAAUAUGAACAAAUUCCUGUGCCCCACAAAUAACCCAGAGAUGCAUUUUAAAUAAAAGGGCAUUUUCUACUCAUGUAAGAACAUGCUGGUUCCCGGACUGUCCGUGGGCCAGAUUUAGAAGGUGAUUGGGCCGGAUCUGGCCCCCGGGCCUUAGUUUGCCUACCCAUGGUAGAGCCCAUCAUGCUCUACCUUGAGCUGGCCCCGAUUCUCAGCUGGCGUUUCCUUUCCCUUACAUUUAAGUCAGCUGGUUCCUCUCCUAAGAGUCAGAGAACAGUCCCAGGGCUGCCUCCUGUCACCAGCCGGCCCUGAUGCUGUUUCCCCCAUAAAGAAAAAGAAUCACACAAGCAUCAGCUUCUCUGCUGGGAUUAUUUUGGCUGCAUCCGUUCUAAGGUUCAUCUUUCUCCUGCAAAGUAUGCUUAUGUUCCUGAUGUUUAUUUUAUUGCAUUUAUAUCUCACCUUUUAUCCAAGGAGCUGAUAAUUUGGUGUCAUCAGGAAACUUGACUGUCUCACUGCUCACCUCUUAGAACCAUGGGACCUUGUUCAGUUGUUCAAAGCAAAGGCUACAAUCCCAAUCCUUGAGGGAUUCCACUUUCUACAUCCCUGCACUGGGAGAACUAUCCAUUUAUUUCUACUCUCUGCUUCCUGUUCUUUAACCAGCUACUGACCUCUUUUCUUAUCCCGUGACUGCUUACUCCUAAGGGGCUUUUGAUCCAUGUGCGAUAUACUCAAAGAACCCUAAAAGGCUUUUUAGAUGAGACUUAUCCUUGCCGAAGCCAUACUUCUUUUUCUUCAGCAAGACUUGUUCUUCUGUAUGCUUGAUAAUUCUAUCUUUAAUCAUCGUUCCCACCAGUUUUCCCAGAACAGAUGCUAAAUUAACCAGCUUCUAAUUUUCUUCAGAUUCCAUUAUUAAAAUUGUCGCAUUAGCCACCUUCCAAGUGUCAAAUAUGAAGACUGAUCUUAGAGAAAAAUUACAUAUUUUUGUUAGAAGAUACUGGGUUAAGAACACUUAGGUGGAUGAUUUCCUUAUUUCUCCACGUUUUUAAUUUCUCACUAAAGCUUCACCUGUUGUCACUGUGAUUUGCUGCAGUUCCUCAGAUUCCCUUCCUGAGAAAGGGAGUCACAGUGUCACAGUGAAGACAGACGCAAAGAAUUCACUCAGCUUCUUUGCAAUUUUCUUUUCCACCUUUAACACAUAUUUAACUUCCUUGUUGUCCAAUGGUUCGACUACCUCCCUGACUUGUUUCUUGCUUCUAAUGUUUUAAAGAAAUAGUUAUUGUUGGACUAAAUGUUUUCAGAGAGUUUGGGAAUUUUUUCACCCCUUAUUGUCUGUUUGCAUUUCUUUUGCCAAGGUUUAUGUUCCUCGUUCUCUUCUUCUGGACAUUCUUGCCUCUCAUAGUUUCCUCGCCUCUGCUCAUUAACCCUGCUGGCCAUCUCUUGGCCCUGCUGGUCCCUUUCCUAAUCCGCAGUGUACAGUCCAGCGGAGCUUCUGUUGUUGUGUCUUUUAAUAACCUCCAAGCACUCUGGAGAGAUUUGACCCUCUUGACUUCCCUUUCGACUUUCUUCUGUCCCCUCAUUUUUGCAAAGUUGCCUCCGUUGAAGUCAAAUGCGUUGGACUUUCUUGGCAAUUGCCCAGUACGUUGAAUAUGUUAGGACAGUAGUCACUGUUCCCAGUCAGCUCAACAAGACUUACACCUCACAGCUUUGUAUUAUUUCCCUUUUAAGCCAUCUCUACAAAGCUCUACACAUCCUGAUCCAUAGAAGCAGGUAGGGGGGUGUUAUUGACUUCUGUCAAAACACAUCCGUGAUCAGUGCUCUCAGCUGAAUGUCAUUCAUCUGAGCCAGGCCAGCCGCAAAGCCCAGGGACUGCUAUCUAGCCUCACUAGGCUCCCUUCUUAUAGUAAAGCCUGGCAGUCUGGAGGUGGUUAUUCUUUGGAUUCUGUCACAAAAAUCAGGAAAAUUGAGCCAUGUUUCUUGAGAAAUUUCUAUUGCUCCAUCUGAUUGGGAAGAGAUUUCCUCAGAGCUGCCAAAUUUCAAAUGCUACUCAAACAUUUGGCAACUGUGAGCGGUGAACAGGGGUUCCAUUUACGCUGAAGAAUUUUCUUGCCAACCAUCUUUGUGCUCAGGAGACUGUUUCCUGCAUUGAUGUUAUGUGGUUUUUUGUUCAGUUUCCUAAAAUAAAUAUUGACGGGUCACCGGGAGCCUCCUUAUUAAGAAUCAUGUUUAUUCAUAAAUCCCCAGAAUUUAUUUCCAGGCACAACACGGACCUACUCCAUUAGCUGCUUCAUUAUGUAUUCCCCACCUCUUAUUAUGCUACAUUUGUGACUUGUGGGCGAGUCUCAUAUAUUUGGAUUAUAAAUUUCUCAUAUUAUGUUGAUGUUGCUUGUAUAAUCUGUUUCACCUUUUCUUUAUGUGCACUUUCUUCCUGAUCUUUUUUUUUAAAAAAAAAUCUUAUUAUUUCAUCAUAAAAUUCCAACCCCCCUUUCCUCCCAGGAAAUCAAGUUCAUGGUUCUUUCUCCCUGUUUAAUCCUAACAACAACCCUGUGAAGUAGGUCAGGCUGAGAGACUUUUCUCUCUAAAUCCUAAAAUAAUAAACAUGAGGACUGUUCAGAUAAAUAAUUAGCAAAUGCAUAUAUUAAUCUCUUUUCAGAAAAUUAGAUGUGUUAGACUGUUGUAACAAAAAUAGCCGAGGGAGGGAGAAAUCUGUUAAACUUGCUCCAUACCAGCCUACAGCAGUGUUGAAGAGCAGGACAAGCGCAUGAACGCUGGGCCAAAUGGAUCAAGAGAUGGAGGACUCACACUUGUAUUUCCCACCAGCUUUAUUUUUCUCAAGCCACAGAGCUGAACUGAUUUAGACUGGACUAGCUGUGCCUAGAGAGGUGGCUUGAUCUCAAGGGUUGCCAACAUGGUGCACCCAAAAUGUUGGGCUUCCAACUUGCAUCAGUCCAAGUCAACAUGGCUAAUGGUCAGGGAUGAGGCGAAUUGUAAUCCAACAGCAUCCUGAGCGCACCAAGCUGGCUAUCCUUGGAUGAACCUGUUAAGUUGUGGGUUGACAUAGCAGACAACACAGCGAUUUCUCCAAAGCAGCUCUUUAUUUUGUAAGCUGGAACAGAACUAACAGGAGCUCAGUCAGCCUGCUUAUAUAGAGCUCCAAAACAAUGUAACUGUUGCCAUUUUCUAAAACUAUCCAAUCACUGAACGUCACUUUUCGAUCCUUCAUUUGCAUACAAAACUAUCCAAUCACUGAACGUCACUUUUCGAUCCUUCAUUUGCAUAACUAUCUACAGUAUCCCCCUGCUGGCCCAGGGUGAGAACUUCAGUACAUAACAGAACCAUUUCCCUCAAACAUCAUUUUCUGCCAGUCUAAUUCUUGCCCCCACCAAUCUGCUACUAGCCCCGCAGGAAAAAAUAUAAAGAAACAUUUUCUCAGAAAACCACCAUUACCCUAUAACUGCUACUAUUCCCCUGGAGGAAAAAAAAAUACAGGCGAGAGCAUCUGUUCUGCUCAUAGGCACAUGCACAGGGUGUGCAGGGAGUGCCCAGGCACCCCAUGAUUUUAUUUUUUCAUGAGGAUCAUGGCAAGGAGGAGACACAGGCAGAAUAAAAAGGCUGGACUGGGUCUGCAGCAGCACCUGUCUCUUGAGGCAGUGGCGGAGUGAAGGAGGAAGCCACUUCCAGAGAUGGAGAUCUGUUCCUGCUUUGUUCCUCUGCCUGCACCUCUGUUUUGGUGGCUCUGUCUCAGUCCAAGCUCCACCCGCCUUUUGUGCAGAGAGGCCUGUGGGGGUGGCAGGCUGAUUUUGUGGUGCGCAAGCAAAGAGGAGGGGAAUGCGUCUUGCCCUCAGUCCUCCAUAUCUCCCCAUCUCCGCCCAGUUCUUUUUCUCUUCAGGAAUAAUAUUCUCCUUUGGCUUCUUGACCGCUCUUCUUCUUGUUGCCCUGUUAGCUUUUUGUCUCUUUACCUCUUUCCUUAUUUGUCUUGCCAUUCUCUCUCCUCCAUUCUUUCUUCACUGAAAUAAAUAAAUAAAAUUUCCCCAGGUGCAAACCCUAAUGAAAUGUGCUGCACAUGCUCCUGCUACGUGAGUAAUAGCAGCUGGGGGCAGGGAAGCAAAUAAAUGCCCCCACUCCCCAGUUGUGGCUGUUCUAAUCCAAUUUCUGCAGCUGCUUUUGAUCACUUUUAGGUAAAAAUAAAAACACCAGGAGAUCUGAUCCUGGAGCUCCUGUGAUUCAUGUCCUUUGGCCCUUACUAAGAUUAAUGCUUCUUGUAGCAUAAGGUUUGUUUACUAUAGCCCAUUCAAAGUGGCUUCCUAUAUUCAUUUGGCACAUAUACAUUGGUGUUUAAGGAUGCAUACUUUCCAUAUUCAUUCCAGAAAGACCCAUGUAUGCGUACUACCCACUGCAAAGGCAAUUAUUUCAUGAUAUUUGGAGCCACCCUAGUAAACUACCUUGUGUGUCCUUUUUCCUAUACCAGUGAUGUAACUCUAGCAAGAUGGGCAUCAGAACUUGUACAAAAGAAAUACUCUGAAUAUAUGUUGUUCUCUGACCAGCUGUGCUGAUUAUAGAUUGCAACAGGGAGAGAUGCAGAUGGAUCUUUUGAUGGUUCUUGAUUUUGCUUAAAAGGCUGCUAAUUUUGAGAUGGUGGUUUUCUGUAACGCAGCUGGCAGUUUCUCUGAAUUUAUGGUAACAUAUUUCAAAGGACCAGUUUGGGUGACUUACACCACUCAUAUUAUUUCACCUGAUUGGGUAGAUGUUCGCAGGGGUUACCAAUGUUAGAUGUCUCUUCUCUUUCUGCCCCAAAGACAAGAAAUAGGAUACAACCAUUGUGUAAAUCCCUUAAUUUCCUUGCUUGUCAUAAUGAGACACAGUAUUCAGUUUGGGGUGAUGAUGUCUCAUUAUCAAGCCCCCAGGCUUGAUAAAGAACUUGCGGGGGGGAUACUAAGUCGAUCUGCUCUAGAUGCCUUAAAGCAUUGCCAUGAUUUGGUUGUCACGAUGGAUUUACGCAGAAAAUAAAUACUAGGUUGUUACUAUAUGCUUAUUUGCACUCCUGGCAUGUCUAUUGUCCUUACAGAUUAUUAAUGCAUAUCUAUUUAACCUUAUUAUGUUAAAAAGAUUAUAAAGAAGAGAGAUAAUUCAGCCACCUCUUUGAGACUGACGCUCCUCUCUUGCAGCUUUUCCUUGGGAAUGUUUAAAAAUGGCAGUGAUCAGAGAUUGAGAAUGCGUAAAGCUAAAUUAAUUGUGAAAAUGUUACUUGAAUGUUGCAUUCCGUGCUUUCAGUGUGGGCCAUCUGUGGGCUCAAGUGUAAUAGUAAGUGUAGACUCUCAUGGGUAGGCAAACUAAGGCCUGGGGGCCGGAUCUGGCCCAAUCGCCUUCUCAAUCUGGCCCGCGGACGGUCCGGGAAUCAGCAUGUUUUUACAUGAGUAGAAUGUGUCCUUUUAUUUAAAAUGCAUCUCUGGGUUAUUUGUGGGGGAUAGGAAUUUGUUCAUUUUUUCCCCCUUCAAAAUAUAGUCUGGCCUUCCACAUGGUCCGAGGGACAGUGGACCGGCCCCCUGCUGAAAAAGUUUGCUGACCCCUGGUAGAUCAUCAAAGAGGGACAUUGCCUAUCAGCUUGUAGAGAGAGCUCCCCUCAAAGCCAGAAGGAGGUGGAGGGCCAUUCUGACAGAAAUACGGUGGUACCUCGGGUCACAGGCGCUUCAGGUUACAGACUCCGCUAACCCAGAAAUUGUACCUCAGGUUAAGAACUUUGCUUCAGGAUGAGAACAGAAAUCAGGUGGCGGUGGCAUGGAAGCAGUGGGAGGCCCCAUUAGCUAAAGCGGUACCUCAAGUUAAGAACAGUUUCAGGUUAAGAAUGGACCUCCGGAACAAAUUAAGUUCUUAACCAGAGGUACCACUGUGAUAGAAACUUAGGACUUUUGGGUUAGAGUGUGGUGCUGAGAACGCCAAGGUCUCAGGUUCGAUCCCCGUAGGGGACAGCUGCAUAUUCCUGCGUUGCCAGGGGUUGGAUUAGAUGAUCCUUGGGUGUCCCUUCCAACUCCAUGAUUCUUUGAGACAUUUAUGAAGGCCCAACCACACUUUCAUUUGUCCCAUGAUUUCUAGUAUUUCAUAUCCAUCUACGAUCAAGGGUCCGAGAGGUCUCUUUUUGGUUUACAGUAUUUGUUUUGUCUUGUCUGUGGGCAUGGACAUGGGAGCUCCACUACCCAUUGGCUCUGACUUGUCUGCGCUGAGGAAGCCCCCUGGGCUCAUGGAACACAGGAACGCCCCUCCACCUGAGUAUUGGAGGUAUUCCUACUGGCAACGGUUGUCCUUGAACCUAUGGAGGGUGAUGGGGUCAAGGACAGGACCUAGUUCUCUCGCGUACACAUUCUCCCCUCCUAGCUUGCACUCUGAAUGCCUGAAUGAGGCUCUUGUGACCACUGAUUCAACAAAUUUUGAAGUCACCAAACAGAAUUACAAUGCGCGACAGGAGAAAGGCAUGAUAAAACCACCUUUACAGAUGUUUUCGUAUGCAGUAUAUGGGAGGUUAAUGCAAUCUGAGUUAGAUUACUGAAUUGGCUUUUUAUUAUUGAAUUGUAUCCACUUGAGCAAUUAUCAAACCAGGUGCUGCUGAUUGGAAUCAAUUAUUUGUUCACCUGAUCACUAUAAAGCUGACAAGGGCAUACGAUUGCCACUUGAGGGUGCUUCCACUACUACUGAAGCCUUGUUGAAAGGUAUUUAUUAGUUUGUGAUGCUCCAAAAAUUCUCCCCUAUUUGGCGAGGGCAAAAAAAUUAAACUGGCAGGGGAGAAAGUCUUGAUUAGAUUGCCGUGUAGCCUUAAUGUCUGGAUAAAUUUAAGAAAGGUUAUUCACGGUGUUCCUGCAUUAAACUUCUUGGGUACUCCGGGGGGAUACUGCCCUACAAUAAUAUUUCCUUCUUUAUUUAUUUCCUAAACUUUAUUCGCCGCUUGAUUGUAAAACAAACAAACAAACUUCAAAGCAGUUUACAAAAGAUAAAACAAGAAAAUCAAGAAAAAGUCAAAACCUUACUUUGAAACAUACAGAAAUUAAAAUACUAAAACAGAUAAAAAUUACCUCACCUUACCUCACCUUUCUAAGCAUCUGGGUAGGCUUCUCUAAGCAAUGUUUUUAGCGGGAACUGAAGAGAGGCUCCUGGUUAAUCUCAAUAGGUAGGGAGUUCCAAAGUGCAGGCGCUGCCACGCUAGUUGACCGAGUUCUUGCCAAUGCAGAAGAGAUAUUAUGUGGCACGGAGGUAGUUUAUUGGAGAGUAGUUUAACAACGCAGCAUGAGCUGAUUUUCAGCAGCGAUGAGAGUGUAAGCAAAAGCAUUAAUAACAUGAGAUUUGGCCAGAAGGACACAUCCUUACACAGGUCUUUUGGAUGUUAGCAGUAUUUUCUGCCAUGUUAAGUCGAGGGGUUUUACAUGGUGUGUUGCCUAAAACCUUUCAGCCUGGUUAUUUCAUUAUUCAAUAGACCAAAGAGUUUAGAAUCGCUAUACAAAGGAAUGUAGAGUAAUUAUGAGUUGUGCAUGGAUUUUUGCUCCUUUCUCUAAUUCCCUAUUACUCCAAGCUCCAGGGCUUGUGGAUUUUAAUAUGGCAUACUAAUAUGUUGCAUCUUGAUGUAUGAAAGUAUAAUAUUGUUGACCAUUGGUUUAGUUAUUAUAAAUAAAUUUUACAAUAAGAUGUCUUUAACAUUUACUCACUGUUAACAGACAAUAUCUGUGUUUUUCACCAAAGAUUUGUCAAAACUUUUUGAGCUUUUUUUAAUACAAUAAAUAAAUAAAUACAUGCAUCUCCUGGAAUCUGUUGUACUGAUUCCCUAAAGCUAUACCUAAAUGGAAAGCCACGUGGAACUGGGUUUUGUGAAGGCUCUAAGUUGCAAUGACAAAGGCAAGAAUCUUCAAAGCCAAGCCUGUCAGACUGACUCACGUUGAUCGUGUCUGAUGGUGGGCCUUUUUCAUGACCUUGUAUUUUCUUCAAUGGAACAUGGGGAACCAGGGAUAAAAACUAUACCACAAAAACAUUCCCUGAUAACUUCACACAUUCAGUUUUACACACACACACCAGCAACCCAUAUCAUCACUUUGCAGUGACUGAUGCUCCUCAGGGCUUUUUCCCUUAGGUGAAAACUAGACAUUACCUUAAAGCUACUUUUGGGUUCACACCCUUUAAUACUGGAGGUGGUUUUAAUUGGAUCUGCAGCCUUGAUUCUGAGAAAAAUCCCGCACCCCAGUGGCAGUAGAAGAAGAUUUCAGGACUUCCCAUUUCACGAGCCAUCUUUAGUGCAGUCUCAAAAGUUAAGUUGGCUCCCUGCAACAAUUCCUCUUGUAUAUCUUUGGAGAUCAACCCCACCGUCUUUUAUCAUAUCAUCUGCAUCAUGAAAUGCACAGUCCCUUGCUAUAAAACAAAGCGGCGUUAACCAUCCAUCUAUGGAUUCAGCCUGUCCUUGUUGGCUCUCAAAAAAGUGUUUUCUCUGCACAGGGACAUUCAUAUGUGGAGUGCAAUAUGCUUCAAAGUUUGCAAACAAUAUCUCAAGUUUCUUCUUGUCCUCAGGGGCUGGCUUGCCACUUGCAGUCCAUGAUCUGCAAAUAUCUCUGCCCUUCUGGCCUAUGUAUGUCAGGAACUGUGAAGCCUUGUGCUCCUCAGACCACUUGUCUGCUUCAGGGCCUGCGGAAAUCAGUUCCAUAAUUCCCCUCCAUUGUGACCAAUUUUCUGCCACAUUCCCUGAGACAAAAAACCAAGCGUCUUGAGCUGGAGGCCAUUCUUUCAGGUGCUCCUGCUGGGUCCUGCUUCUGCCUGGCUUACGGUAUAAGGCAGAUGGCAGGAGAUGCCACGGAGCAAAGCAGCAGCUGAGGCUCCAGGCAGCUGAUACUUUCAUUUCCUCUAAGCACCUUUGGACCCAUGUGGCCCAAUAGGCAGGCUGUUAGGGGGCAGGGGAAGGAGCAGGCCCCAGCCCAGUGGUCCAUGAGUUUGCCCACAUGCCAAGUUGGUUGCUAACACUGGCCCUGUUUUCUGACAUCUCCCAUUAUCUGCUGCUCUUGUUGUGGGCAUUUGGGAGAUCUUUGACCAGCCCCAACAACAUCAUUAGGGGUGGGCAAAUCUGUCCAUUCCAGUUCCUCUCUCUUCCAGUCCUGUUCAAUCCUUCACAUUUCCAAAUCAGUUUGUGAAUUUCUCCUAAUAUGCACUUUCCUCUGCAGAGCAAUGUUCGCCUAAUAUUUUUGUAUUUUGUUUUCACUUUACCCUAGUAAAAGCAUUUUUGUACCCAUUAAAAAAGGUAAAGGGACCCCUGACCGUUAGGUCCAGUCGUGGCCGACUCUGGGGUUGCGGCGCUCAUCUCACUUUAUUGGCCGAGGGAGCCGGCGUACGGCUUCCAGGUCAUGUGGCCAGCAUGACUAAGCUGCUUCUGGCAAACCAGAGCAGCGAACAGAAACGCCGUUUACCUUCCCGCGGUACCUAUUUAUCUACUUGCACUUCGAUGUGCUUUCGAACUGCUAGGUUGGCAGGAGCAGGGACCGAGCAACGGGAGCUCACCCCGUCGCAGGGAUUUGAACCGCCAACCUUCUGAUCGGCAAGCCCUAGGCUCUGUGGUUUAGACCACAGCGCCACCCGCGUCCCGUGCAUUGUUUAGAUUGUUUAGGACAGUGCAAAUUCGGCAGCUUCACCUUUAAAUGAGAACUGUAUUGAAUUUCCCUCCCUUGGCACCAUCAAGACAGAAUGAUGUCUUAUAAUAGUAGAGUAAUACAUGUAAGCUCUGCCUGAUACUUUGACUAAAUAAGACUAUAAAAUGGUUUAAUGUGCUCCAUAGAAGUAGACACCAUGCCAUAGCACUGAUGAUCCCCAAUGCUGGGAUCAGAAUGACUCAAGUGUCUGCUAGUAUAACACAAAAUUAGAUCUGCUCCUUUUCUACCCUAAUUUGUGUCUGUUAGUAUUAAACGUGACAAAGGCAAAAAACUUUAAAGAUAUUCCUAUGGGCAAUGGAACAAAUCUUACAGUGCCAAAAGAAGAUUAAUCACAGAUAAUUGCAGGACAAAAAAGAGAACACUCACGUUGUGGCAUGUAUGGAAUCCGCAUAUUUUCUGGAAAAAUUAGAUUCUAAACAAUAGCUGGAUUCUUCCAUUCAGCCAGAUCCCUUUCCAAUAGGUCUGAGGGUACCGUAUAGGAUGAAAUUUGGCGCCAUUUGCAAAAACAAUAUGAGUACAUAGGAACUUGAGCGCACCUCUUUUUUUGCUUGAACUACUCGAUCAACUUUUUUUGUGAGAAUCCCAUGUUCAGUACACUUCCAUGAGGUACCCCCCCCCCCGUGUCCUGAUUUUCCAGGGACAGUCCCAGAAUUUGGAUUUGAUCCCAGAAUGUCCCGAUUUUCCCUGCCAGCACCAGGGACGAGCUCAGGGACGAAGAUGAGCCUGUGCUUGUCUCGAGUGACGACAAUGGCAGGGUGGCGGCUGCGGGGAAUCCUCCCAUUGCCUCUCCCUGGCUGCCACCGCUGCCCUCCUUCCCUGGGCAGCUCACAGCAGCUGCUGGUGAACAGGCAAGAAGGAGGUGAGGCUGCUGCCACCGAGGCCCAGCCCAACGUGGCGUGCCGGCUCUGAGGGGGCAGGCAGAGGGCAGGGCCACCCUGGGUGGAAAGAAAGGGGGAGAGGAGCAGAGCGCAAGGAGUCUUGGUGUGUGUGUUUUAAUGCUUUGUGCAUCCAUAUCUAAUAUUGCCCCUUUCUAAAAUGCAUUUGGGACACGGGUGGCGCUGUGGGUUAAACCACAGAGCCUAGGACUUGCUGAUCAGAAGGUCGGCGGUUCGAAUCCCUGCGAUGGGGUGAGCUCCCGUUGCUCGGUCCCUGCCAACCCAGCAGUUCAAAAGAACGUAAAAGUGCAAGUAGAUAAAUAGGUACCGCUCCGGCGGGAAGGUAAACGGCGUUUCCAUGCGCUGCUCUGGUUCGCCAGAAGCGGCUUAGUCAUGACCCGGAAGCUGUACGCCGGCUCCCUCGGCCAAUAAAGCGAGAUGAGCGCCACAACCCCAGAGUCGGCCACGACUGGACCUAAUGGUCAGGGGUCCCUUUACCUUUAAAAUGCAUUUAUUGGUGUGUGUUUUUCUUUUAGUACAUCUAACAAAGAAUAAAAUAAAAUAAAGUGGGAUAAAGGGUUUUUUUCUCAGGACGCUGGAGAGUGUGUGCGCUGUGUCCUGUUGGUGUUGUGGUGUGAUAGGAGUCAGGGGAGUGAGAAAUGUCCCUAUUGUCACCCAAGGAAUGUUGGAGGGUAUGCCAAGUGUCAGAGACUUUACCUGAUGGCUAUCAUGUGGCCCAGUCCUGCAUCAUAUUAUUCACUCUGCUCUUAUGGGGCUCAUGUGGCCUGCUUAUUUUUGGUGCCACCAGAAAAAGAAGCUUGGAAUCUAAAUCAUCAGCAUGAGGAGGCAAUAGCUUUCCAACUGCUUAUACCAAGCAAAGGCUGCUGCAUAAGCUUAGAUUGCAUCUUAUUUCACUUCCAAAGGCUGUACCUGAAAAAAAUCUUUAACGUGAAACAAAAUGCGUAAAAUAUAAUAAAAACAGAGAGAUGACCCACAGAACCAGUAAUGAUUGACAGAUUGUGUUAAAGGGUAUGAAUGAUCAGAAACAGCUAUAGUUCUUUCAAUGGCUGAUCUUCAGCCUCUAUAAACAGUAGAGCCAAAGUAUGUGUGGCCAAUGCUCAGCACAGGGACCAUUAAGUGGUAUGGAGAGUGGGAGCUUGUGGCAGUCCUUGGCUGUACCGUGAGAGCCAGAAAGCCUGGGCUAUGGAAUAAAGGCCGACUCACUCUCUUGCCUGGUCCACAGUGGCUCAACAGAUUGCAUAUCUGUAACUGCUCUGAGCACAAGAAUGGCAUUGUCGCAUACUCUGGGCUUGACUUGCUGCACAUGCUAUCUUGCCACCGCUAACCUAGCUGCUCUUAGGUAACCCUCUGUGUUCUGUCAAGAACUGGACAAGAAAUUAUGGCGUGAUUUAUGGAUGGAAUUUGGAACUUCUGACUCCAAUGAGCUUUUUCUGCAUUGGACCAUCUCAUGCAUUGUUGAGUGUUUGUUUUAAAAGCCCAACUAAUUAUAUGCAAAAAUGUGCAUAUUACAUGUAUCCUAUGCGUAAGAGAGUUAGGCUCCAUGCACUGCUAAAUUUCUGUUCCAUAAUUUGGGAAGUAAUAGAAAUUUUUAUAUGGCAUUAUUGUAUGUAUCUGCUUAUGUGCUGUAUUUUAGGAAACCAGGGGUGUAUAUGCACAUCAAAUGUGAGUGUGAUAUUGGGUAUAAUAAUAAAAAAUACACUAUGCUAAAAUUGUUCAUAUUUUUAGCAGAACCAGGCUAGGGGGAGGAGGAAAGAGAAUUCUUACUUCCGAUUUGAGAUCAAGGAGUGAGGCAGGGGUUAGGGAAAAAAUCCAUGUGCAUAAACUCGACAUUAAGAUUUUCAGUGAAAGCCAUCCCUAGUUCUGCCCCUCCAUCUUUGGUAAUAUACAACUUGUGCCUCUCUCUCUCUCUCUCUCUCUCUCUCUCUCUCUCUCUCUGUGUGUGUGUGUGUGUGUGUACAUCUUGUUCUCUCUUACUUCUCCCAAUGUUUUGCUUGUUUAUUUACUGCAAUAGUCUUAUACAUUUUAUUGUAUGACAGGCCAUCAUAUGGCGCCCUGAGGCUGCGUCUCAGUAACAUGGCACCUCAUGCAUGUUAUCAGAAAGCGUACUUUCUUUCCUAUUUCCUGCCCAGAGCGUCCUUCAUAUCUAAACACAUUCGGGGGGGGGAGAGGAGUCAUUUUAUGCACCAUUGCAAAACUUUGUAUAUUAAAUUUAUGGUUGCUUGGCAUAUAAAACACGAAAUAUUUAUUGCAUUUUUAACAACCAAUAUUUAUAGUAACAUGUCACUCACUUGGUAUGUACUUUGCAUAUGAACCUGGUACAUGCCUUGGAUACUCAUUUUGGAACAAACUGCUCUAGCAAACAUUCAAAACCGCAAAGACAUGGUGCAAGUGUAGAAGAAAAAUGUUAAUGUAUUGUAUGCCUAUGCAAUCUAAGCAUACUGUAAUUGGUCUAUGGCUGUUAAGGCAGCCCUGUUUAGGGUAGUUUUAAAUGUUUGAUGGUUUGUCAUUUUUUAUUAUUAUUAUUAUUAUUAUUAUUAUUAUUAUUAUUAUUAUUAUCAUUAAUUCUGUUGGGAGCUGCCCAAAGUGCCUGGGGAAACCCUGCCAGAUGGGUGGUGUGUGUGUGUGUGUGUGUGUGUGUGUGUGUGUGUGUCUGCCACUUUCCAUGAAACUAAAAAUGGAGCCUCAUGAACCAAUUGCCAGUUGUUGGGAACAAAUGACAAGAACUCACAGGUUCGUCACCAUCCCUGGUGCUCCCUUGUCCUGAAUGAAACUUCUGCCUUAUCCAGCCAGGCUGUUCCAUCCUGUUUUCACUGUUAAUACAUUUAUUUAGAUUUGUAAAUUUAGCUGCUCAAAGCAUUGUUACUGGAAAACUGCUGGGGGGAAAUCAUAUUGUAUCUGGGCAGAGGCUGUGAACAGAUAUUAAGCAGUCAGGGCAAAGGGCACCUGUCAUAAUUUGGUCCUUUGCACAUUUUUCCCCAAUAAAGUGCUUUGUGGGAAAGGUAAAAUGUGAUAGUUUGGGCUCCAAAGAGAAGAAAUCACUACAAAAAAAGAGGGUCAGAAGACCAAUUGACCAAUUGGUGGAAUCUUGCAUACUUAUGGGAAAGCAAGGAUCCCACAGAAACCUCUCCUGUUCCACUGGAUCUGCUGCCAGUGCUCCAAGCUCUCUCAGCUUAAGCUUGCAACUCAACAAGCAGGGCAUUCUUGGUGAAGGCACCGCAUCUAUGAAACUCCCUCCCUCCUGUAAAAGCAGCAGUGGUGCAUGCAGGGGGGCGAGAACAGGGCUCUCCUGGUUACUAUUGCCAUUACCGGCAAGUUGGGGAGAAAAUUGAACAAAGGUUAUCUACAAAGAUUGCAACUCUGACCAUUGCAGAGAGGGUCAUUGGUUACAUUCCCCCCCCCCCCGAAAGUUCAUGUCUGAAUCCAGAAUCAAGUUGAUGAAGGUUGUGGUUCUUAUUAAGUGAUUAACGGCAAAGCAGUCUUUCUCUUCCUUCCCCUCCUCCUUCAGAAGCAUUCAGUAUGAAAAUGUAAUUUAAAACUGGAAUUACAUGAGUUUCAAACAGAUGGCAGAAUGUAUGCUUGUUCUUCCUAGCCUAUUUUGAUACUUCCAGUGUGCCAUUAAAAAAUAGGAAUAGUUUAAAGCAAAAAAAAGAAAAAGAAAAAAGAUUAAAGACAAUGGAUAGAAUCUUUAGACUGGAAUUUUAAAAGAACAUAGCAAUUCAUGGGUGGGUGGGGGGGAAUAAUUUGCCAUACUUUAAUGAACAGUAUCCCGGAUGCUUAAGGCAAGUCUGCCAAUAGGUUUCCCUAGGAAAUUAGCAGAGCAAAUAUAAUGACCUUGAAAUUGCACUUUAAAAUGUCCCAUAUAUUUUGCAAUUUGGCUUUGAAGCAGUAAUUACAUUAAAAACAAAAGACUAUAAUAGCUUGUGUUGUAGUACAUCCAGACAGGUCAGGUACUGUACAUGGCUGAAAAAGGAAAGUGGCAGAAUUAAUUGGGUGGUAUUUGUUUGCAUUUGAAUAAAGCAGACAGUGUCCCCCGGGGGAAAAUCCUGGUCAAAGUUUACUGAACAAGCCAGUCUGCAACUUGAGCAGAAAGAAACUGAGGGGUUUUGCUUUUUGAUGAGCCCUAUUCAGAGCUGGACUAGAUUCAGCUUAACUUUCACAAGAAAACUUUCUCACAGCUAAAUAACAUAUCCGAGCAUGUGCAGCCUCCGGGCAGAUCACACCACCGUCCCUGGCUCCUAGAUUAGGGUUACCAGGUGUCCCCGGUUCCCAGGAACAGUCCCCGGAUUCACCAAUCUGUCCCCGGAAUGUCCCCGGAUUUUAAUUAAUGUCCCCUGAUUUAUGCCUGGGGACUUCUGGCUAGCAACAUGGCGGGUGCCAAGGCAGCGAGCAGCACCAGAGGUCCCGGCCCCGUCAAAGUUCCAGACAGCCAAUCCGCUGGCUGGGGGGGGGGCUAUUUAAACCGAGGCGUGAGCCAGAGAGCUUCCUUCUGGCUCGCUUCCUUGAUCAACGCUCGCCCUUGUGCAGAGCCGCCUGCAGCAGAAGAGCAAGCAGGGCUCUUCUGCUGCGGGCUCUGCGCACCCAAGUUGGGGGGGCAAGCAAGGCAGUGAAAAAGAGGAGGAGAAGCCUAGAAAAGAGCUGUGCUACAUUGCAAGACAGAGAGAGAGAGAGAGAGAGAGAGAGAGAGAGAGGGAGUCUUGUGUGUGUGUUUUAAUGCGUGUUUUCCCAAGACCAACAAGCGCCUUUACUCGAUCUCUCUCUCUCUCUCCCCCCACCCCCAACCUCUUUGUGGGGGGGUGUUUGUGUGUUUGUAGAUGGGCUUCUCCGCCUGCCUUGUGUCGAGGUGCACGCCCGACAACUUUGGGGUUCCCCCCCCCUAAAAAAGGUCAAGAACUCUGGGCAACCCUUUCUUAAAAUACCGUAUUUUUUGCUCUAUAAGACGCACCAGACCACAAGACGCACCUAGUUUUUGGAGGAGGAAAACAAGAAAAAAAAUAUUAUGAAUCUCAGAAGCCAGAACAGCAAGAGGGAUCGCUGCACAGUGAAAGCAGCAAUCCCUCUUGCUGUUCUGGCUUCUGGGAUAGCUGCGCAGCCUGCAUUCGCUCUAUAAGACGCACACACAUUUCCCCUUACUUUUUAGGAGGGAAAAAGUGAGUCUUACAGAGCAAAAAAUACGGUAAUAAAGCAUGAAAUUUUUUUAAAAAGUGUCCCCAGAUUCCUUGAAAUAAAUCUGGUAACCAUAUCCUAGGUAACACCUCGACUUUCCCCUUCUUGCUAGCUGACUUACGGACCACAUAAGUUACCCACUGAAUGCUCUCUGCUGCUGCAGGUCCAGCAAUUCAAUGUUAUGUUAACCUGCAUGAGAUACAUAUAUUGCUUUCAGUAUUGUACAGUAAUACUCUCCAUUUGAUUAUGCUCUUUGAAAGGCUGAAAAUGUAGAUGAAUCCCCUCCAUACUGUAAUGCCAUCAUCAGGACCAUCAGAUUUGACUAAGUAAUGGCAUCACUAAGGAUUAUUAGAGUGAAGGCUAUUUAGUUAUAUAUUUGUUAUUUUUAUCCCACUCUUCAGACUAGCAUUUUGUCCCAGUCUGAAAUAAUCAAAAAUUUAAGCAAAGCAUCCCUCCCUCUCUCUCUCUCUCUCUCUCUCUCUCUCUAACUCUGCAGAACUUAGUUCCAAUAGUACCAAGUUUGCUUCCAUGAAAAGCUGCAUUGAGAGGGAAACAGAAAUAAUGCUGACCAAUUUAAAUCCCAAUGGAAUUUUUAACACGCCAUAUGUUAGGCAAUGUUCCUCUUAAAUGUUUUAAAAUAACACUGAGCUCAUAAGCAACUACUAGGCUUUCUUUCACCUGGAAGAGGUGGCAGCUAAGAACAACUUUUGAUCAAUAGUUCUGUGCUGAUGACAAUGGACUUUGGAUGGACUUGGGCGGAUUUCUUAAUACUCUGCAGCAGUUCCAGAAGGUCUCGAAAAGCGACUUGCCCAAGCGAAUCUAUUUGUCAAAUCUUGUCAAAAUUAUAGUUCUGGAGGCAGAGCCUUGUGGCCUUCCUGCCUUUGACGCCUAGGCUGCCAACCCUACAAUAGUUCUGGCAGUGAACAAGUACACCGCUUCCUUUGUUCAUUUAAUUUCAACCAUUUGUAUGCUGUUUAAUCACAGUAUGAUUAAACAGCAUGCAGGAGACCCAAUACAAUAAUGAAUCAAAAUUAUAGAAUCAGAAUUAAUUCCGUUAAAAAGUCUAAAAGUAUUUAUUUAUGUUUGUAAUCUUUGGUUAAGGCUGAUCGCCGAAGAAUUGAUGCUUUUGAAUUAUGGUGCUGGAGGAGACUCUUGAGAGUCCCAUGGACUGCAAGAAGAUCAAACCUCUCCAUUCUGAAGGAAAUCAGCCCUGAGUGCUCACUGGAAGGACAGAUCCUGAAGCUGAGGCUCCAAUACUUUGGCCACCUCAUGAGAAGAGAAGACUACCUGGAAAAGACCCUGAUGUUGGGAAAGAUGGAGGGCACAAGGAGAAGGGGGCGACAGAGGACGAGAUGGUUGGACAGUGUUCUCGAAGCUACAAACAUGAGUCUGACCAAACUGCGGGAGGCAGUGGAAGACAGGAGGGCCUGGCGUGCUCUGGUCCAGAGGGUCACAAAGAGUCGGACAUGACUAAACGACUCAACAACAACAACAAGUGGCAGAAGUUCAAAGGGGGGGCUGUCUGCCCUCAACUGGAAGGGAGUUCCACAGAUGUGGGCCCAUGACACUCAAUGCCUUGCUCUUGAACCUUCUUGGCAUAGAAGGGAGAGGUGGACGCAUAAAUGGGGUAGAGAAAGCAAAGGUAAAACGCCAAUUUAUGUUGAAUUUAUUUUUUAUGGGGGAUUUACUAUGCCUUGGAAUUUGCCAUUAUUGCACAUUACCAGCUGCUAAAGACAAGCACAAAGGGGUGCUUUCCUCCCUUCGAUCUCUGCUUGUGUGCUCUCCUGAGGCAUCUGGCAGAUCAUUAUGGGCUGGACGGGCGUUUGGCUAAUUGACUGUGGCAGCGCUUAUUAGCUAUGGCCAGAAACAGAAUUCCGAGUGAGAUGGACAAUGUUUGUAGAGCAGAUUUGCCAGUGAAGAGAAUAUAUCGCAAUUAACUCUUGAUCUCCUUAAAAAAUUACGGAAGCGUUGCCAUCAAGGAUUUUCACCUUUUAACUCUACUUUAUCUUGCAAAUAGUCUGGCUGCAAUCCAGCCCCACAACCAUCACACUUCAAUCCCAUUGAAAUCAAUGGGACUUAAGCACAGGCAACUGUGAGCUGGAUUGAAGCCAUGAUUCGAAACACUUCAGUUCUGCAUUUCCUUUUUCAUUAUGAUAGAUAAUAAUUUCUCUCUUGAUGAACAGAAACUGAAACUCCAUUAGGAAGAGAGAGAAAAAGACGCCACAAGUAACUUUUGAGGCAUUUAAUCAAAACCUACUGGUAUUACACGAGGAAGAUAAAAAUGUGCAUUUGUUGAAGUGUUGUUGGUUAUAUACUGUUAAUGACUUUUCUUUAAAAUACAAGUCUUCAGCAAAGUUGAAUAGUUUAUAAGUAUUCUUUUUUUAAAAAUUGAACCGAAACAAUCAACCAGCAGCCUGCCCACCCCAGUUGCAACACUUUCAGCAUUAAUUGAAUAUUUUAAGUUAUGCAUUAUUUUCAUUGCAAGUUUUACACAACUCUAAAAAGUGUGGCUAGCCCACAUCACAACAAUCAGUAUUCUCUGAUUCUUGGGAUAUUUUGCCACAUUAUGCUGAGGCAAACCUCAGCUACAGGAAGCCUAGGGACAUCACAGUAACCAUAUGGAUUUAGCUGCAUGACACCUGGGUUCACAGAGUUCUUGAAUUGGAAGGGACCCUGAGGAUCAUCUAGUCCAGAGCUUUCCAAACUGUGUGUUGUGACACGUUAGUGUGUCAGCUGCUCCUUCUGGGGCCAGAAAGGGCUUAGUUUACCCUCCAGUUUGCUAGGGAAACUAAAUUACAGUGGUACCUCGGCUUAAGAACUUAUUUCGUUCUGGAGGUCCGUUCUUAUCCUGAAACUGUUCCUAACCUGAAGCACCACUUUAGCUAAUGGGGCCUCCCACUGCUGCUGUGCAAUUUCUGUUCUCAUCCUGAAGCAAAGUUCUUAACCCGAGGUACUAUUUCUGGGUAUUUAGCGGAGUGUGUAACCUGAAGCGUCAGUAACCUGAGGUACCACUGUACUGUGUCGCAAAAUGAUGGCUGUCUAAAAAGUGUGUCACCAACAUGAAAAGUCUGCACAGUUCUGAUCUAACCCAACCACCUGCAAUGCAGGAAUAUGCAGCCGUUCCCUGCAGGGAUCCCUCCUGCAACUUUGCCAUUGUCAACACCACGCUGUAACCGACUGAUCCAUCCAGGCUGAUGUGUUCCUUGUGCAAAUGUGUUUCUUGUAUCAUGAUUUACCAUGGUAGAUGGACACAUAAAGCAGGUCUAUGGUUUUGUGUGUUUUUUAAAAAAAAGUACUGUGUGAAGUUGCUUUGUACAGACUUCCUGUGGUUUCAUGCUUUCUCUCGCAUGACACAAGAUUGGCUUUGUUAUGAAAAUACAUGUCAGUUUUGUCCAGACUCACAUGGUUCAGGCAGGCUUAAUUUGAAAGUGCCUUUUGUGGGAAUAUUCAGGGAUGCAGGAGAGGAUAUAUUGUUUGAUUAUAUCCUUUCCAACUUGUGUUAACAAAUUCUACAAUUUAGCAGAGUAACAUUCCCCUUUUUAAACUUGCACAGUGGAUGCGUUUGCUCAGGCUCGCUAAAGCCUCUAAAAUACGUUUCGUUGGCAAUUUCCCCCUUAGUCCCUCAUAAAAGAUAGACACGACACAGUCUUCUAUAAAAGUAUAAAAAGAGUUUACUCACACAUUCUGUCCACAAAUGGAUCCCAGAAGGCAGACUUAAGUUACAAAAGUAAUAUACACCUAGAAACUAUCCCAUAAGGAGAUAGCUCCUUUGUCCUCUCUUGCCUGGAAGCCAAGAGAGCGUCUUAGGCUAAGCAGAUGUUGCUUCUUCGACGAAUGUAGUCAGAGAGAGAGAUGGCUGACCAGUCCUGCUCUUUUGUUACCUGGGCAGGUGAGGUCACGCCCACCUCUAGUCACAUGCAGAGGAAGUCUGUCCCAGCCUAGAAGAAACAGGAAAUUCUGACUGGCUGAUCCAGACAUCCCCUUUUAUGUCCACUCUAGGGAUGUUGUACUUGACUGCUCUUGUGUUUCACACCCCACACCUUUAGACACAGAUUUGUUCAAUUCAUCCUUUUUUAAAAAAACAACAACAUCCCCCCUCACAAAGAAGCAGACCUGCUUUUGCAGCUUUUAAAAACAGAUUCUAACUUCCUACCUUUACAACUCUCCUACUCAACCUAUUUUUCCAUAGCUGCAAGUGUGUGUGUGUGUGUGUGUGUGUGUGUGUCUGCACUUAUGGAAUAGGAAAGUUACUGUUGGGUGAGGGGAGGAGGGCAAAAAAUAAAAGAGAUUUGAUCAAGAUAAUAUAGGCAACAUUGGCUUUUGCAUUCAUAUCUGACUAGGUCAUGCAAAUCAGCCUUGGCCUGUCACACAUAGCGUUGGAUUGGUGCCACUGUGUUGAACGGCAUAAGAUAAUGUAUUAUCUUUAAUAUCUCUCAGAGAUUUAAUCUUCCUUAAUUUUGAAUACAUAGGUUAUGCCAUCUCUGAGCGAUAACAUUAAUGAGGUGGAUAUAAUUCAUCUCUUUGGGGCUUUUGUAUACAUAUAUAAAAAGUAAAACAAAUAAUUUUGUAUGGGAUCUGCACACUCAUCAGCUACAAAAGCAAACAGUAAAAUAUAUUAGAUAUGGAUAAUAAUUUCAAAAGUUCCAGUACAAGUAUUGCCAUGUAUGGUUUUUUUGCUCUGUUGCUUGUUUUUUUAAUGUUAAUAGUGAAACUUGACUGAAUAUCUUCACAGGAAACUUACUCCAUUUUAAAAUAUGGAACAGAUUCACUCUUGUGUUAUUGUAGGCAAUGUGCCCACCUAGACUGAGCUGAACUUGGUUCACCGCCGUUAAUUAAUUAACUUGGAUCAUUGCGCAGUAGUUUGUUACAAUACAGAUGUGGGGAAUCUUUGGCUCUCCAGACGAUGCUGAACUACAAGUCCCAGCAUCCCUGGCUAUUGGACUUGCUUGCUGGGGCUGAUGGGACUUAUAGUCCAGCAACAUCUGGCGGACCAAAGGGUCCCAACUCUGAAGAUGGGGGUGUUGUAAAGCUGAACACACAAAAACAGGACAGCAGUCGUUUUACCCCAUGCUUUAAUUGUUGCAUUCCACUGCUUUUUCUUUACAGCAAAACCAGAUACAAAAACAAAACCAGUUUGCCAUCCGAACAUGUAUAGUUCCACAUUUUAAAUUCAUUUAAUUCAUCAUUAUUGUUAUGUACUGAAGUUCUCACCCUGGGCCAGCAGGGGGAUACUGUAGAUAGUUAUGCAAAUGAAGGAUCGAAAGUGACGUUCAGUGAUUGGCUAGUUACAGAAAAUGGCAUUCUAGUAGAGCUCUAUAUAAGCAGGCUGACUGAGCUCCUCAGUUCAGUUCUGUUCCAGUUUACAAAUAAAGAGCUGCCUUGGAAGAAUCACUGUGUCGUCUGAUAUGUUCGCCCACAACUUAACAAUUAUUUUAUUCACUUCCUGCCUCGGACCGAUCACCAGCUAUCAGCUAAACCUACCCUGCACGGUUGUUGUGGAGAUAUUGAAGGAAAUAUGGAACAGCUGCAAAUGGGGACUUAGUGCUUGCCUUAUAGCCAUGAAACUUAGCUUCCUUUAACCAAAGUACAGUGGUACCUCAGGUUAAGUACUUAAUUCAUUCCGGAGGUCCAUACUUAACCUGAAACUGUUCUUAACCUGAAGCACCCCUUUAGCUAAUGGGGCCUCCUGCUGCUGCCGCGCCGCUGGAGCACAAUUUCUGUUCUCAUCCUGAAGCAAAGUUCUUAAACUGAAGCACUAUUUCUGGGUUAGCGGAG